GAUGAACGCUGGCUACAGGCUUAACACAUGCAAGUCGAGGGGAAACGACGGGGAAGCUUGCUUCCCCGGGCGUCGACCGGCGCACGGGUGAGUAACGCGUAUCCAACCUGCCUCUGACUGAGGGAUAACCCGUCGAAAGUCGGCCUAAUACCUCAUGGCAUCGUCUGCGGGCAUCCAACGACGAUUAAAGAUUUCAUCGGUCAGAGAUGGGGAUGCGUCUGAUUAGCUUGUUGGCGGGGUAACGGCCGACCAAGGCGACGAUCAGUAGGGGUUCUGAGAGGAAGGUCCCCCACAUUGGAACUGAGACACGGUCCAAACUCCUACGGGAGGCAGCAGUGAGGAAUAUUGGUCAAUGGGCGAGAGCCUGAACCAGCCAAGUAGCGUGCAGGAUGACGGCCCUAUGGGUUGUAAACUGCUUUUAUGCGGGGAUAAAGUGAGGGACGUGUCCUUCAUUGCAGGUACCGCAUGAAUAAGGACCGGCUAAUUCCGUG
RNAcentral lists this ribosomal RNA (491 nucleotides) under uncultured bacterium. Its description in RNAcentral is "partial 16S ribosomal RNA". It matches the Rfam family "Bacterial small subunit ribosomal RNA", at positions 28 to 507 of the family's 1533-position model. The record is from RNAcentral.